GACGAACGCUGGCGGCGUGCUUAACACAUGCAAGUCGAACGGAAAGGCCCUGCUUUUGUGGGGUGCUCGAGUGGCGAAAGGGUGAGUAACACGUGAGUAACCUGCCCUUGACUUUGGGAUAACUUCAGGAAACUGGGGCUAAUACCGGCUAGGAGCUCUUGCUGCUUGGUGGGCGUUGGAACGUUUCGGCGUUUUGGGAUGGUCUCUAGGCUUCUCAGCUUGUUUGGGGGGUUGUGGCCUUCCAAGGCUUUGACGGGUAGGCGGCCUGGGAGGGUGACCGGCCACAUUGGGACUGAGAUACGGCCCAGACUGCUACAGGAGGCAGCAGUGGGGAAUAUUGCACAAUAGGCGGAAGCCUGAUGCAGCAACGCCGCGUGCGGGAUGACGGCCUUCGGGUUGUAAACCGCUUUGGCCUGUGACGAAGCGUGAGUGACGGUAAUGGGUAAAGAAGCACCGGCUAACUACGUG
This 468-nucleotide ribosomal RNA is filed under the name uncultured bacterium. RNAcentral's name for it is "partial 16S ribosomal RNA". It matches the Rfam family "Bacterial small subunit ribosomal RNA", at positions 28 to 507 of the family's 1533-position model. The record is from RNAcentral.